UGUGUGUGACCCCAUAGGUUCUACUCUGACUGGUAGUGAGAUAUAUUGUGAUCUCUAUCACAAUAUCAUUGAAGACUCCUUUCAAUGGGUUAGAACGAUUCCAACUCUACUCAUUAGGGUUUAUCGUUCAUCGAGACAAUCCCUAUGAGUCCCACCAUCCACCAGUGACACCUAGCAGCAUGUAGUGGCUACCCAGCAGAAUAGAAUGGUGAACCUCUAGGUGCAGUUAAUAUGUGAUACAGUCCUACUAUCGUGGAUCCCUACAGGACGGAGGUCAUGGACAACUCGUCAAACCCCAUCGUCUGUCAUAUGUGAAGAUUCAUUCGACUUAAGUUCGAGAGUGGAAAACUCUUUCUCCACUGUGCAUACUGCCCCGGCCGAGGUCUUACGAACUCAGUCUUAUAAAUCACAUAAGAUCUCUCCUUAUCUAUCAAGGUCGAUAGAUUCCUUAUAGGUGCAUACCCCACUCCUACAGUGAAUUUACUGCAGCCAAUCUACACUGCAUGGACCCAUAUGGCUAGAGACCAUGUAUGUGUGCAGUCAAACUACAAUAACCUCACUGUGAGUAGCCGAAGCACCGCAGGUCAAAGGACCAGUCACACUACUGCAACAUCAAGCAAGUCACUGACGAGUGGAUAGACAUCCAAGUGACUUCUUGUAUUGGUCACGCUCAGUACCAUUGUUCUUAACAAGCACCUGCACUAUUACUUCAGUGUCGCCACACUGUGGACUCGAGUCUCGUCCAUCCUUAAG
Molecule: long non-coding RNA, 753 nt
Filed under: Phoenix dactylifera (date palm)
Lineage: Eukaryota; Viridiplantae; Streptophyta; Magnoliopsida; Arecales; Arecaceae
Description: long non-coding RNA (PDAC_LNC011053)
Source: RNAcentral